CCGCCUCCCUAGGAUCAGAUGACAAGGAGAGAUAGAGCUGUGUGUCAUCCGCACAUUGGUGACAACUCAGUCCAAAUCCCCGGAUUACCCCGGUUGACUCCCAUGCAUCAGUCCAGCAAUCUCUUGGAAGUGCCACAACUCUGAUGUGUUUACUGUGUUGCUACCUGCAUGAAGAUGUCUGGGAAAGUUUGCUCAGAGAGGAGAUGUACUCUGUUGCCUGUAAUGGAAGCUCUAUUGCCGGAACAAAAUAUUCUAUAGACUGCAGUGGGAAAGCCCUGCCUGCCUUUUGUUUAACAAAAAGUUGCAAGGAAAGCCUUGGAUGCCUUGCACAGCUUUGCAGUGAUUGAAGGGAAGAAGGAAUCAGUCUGCCUGGUGGGACUUGGAGACUCAACAUGCAAAAUCUGCCUUGACACCCGAGGUAGGCCACAAGACUCUCAUAGUUGAGAGCAGAUGUCCUGACCUAUCAUUUGAGCCAUUACACAACAUCACUAGCAACAGAAGAUGGGUGCAACUGGAAGGAUCAAGCGUGAAGGAUCAAGUGGUGGGAACAAUCUCUCAGCCCAACUGAGCACAUCUUGGGCAACAUUCAAGAUUAGCAAUUGAAGCAAAGACAGAAAGACAAGCAUCAAAAAGAAAAGAAAAGAAAAGAAAAGAACCCCUAUAUAUGUAUUCCAGGGCAUAUUUUAAGUGUGCUGCAGUUGAUAAUACUUGGUUCUAUUAUUAUUGAUUAGGAGGAGAGGGCAUUUCAGUGGGGUCAAGACUGACUCAACAAGCUUUUCAGAAUAUCCUAAGCACUGAAGCAGAUGCCUAUUUAUAAAGGCAAGAAGCAUUAACAAUAAAUGUUGUGGCAAACAUGUACAAGUAUGUUCAGUAAAGGAUCUGGCUGCCUGACAGAAUGACAGGAGGGUGACAAACAGAUUAUGCAACUAUGAAAGGGAAAUGAGCUGUUUGUUUCUUUACUUGAUAUUUGGUUACAGAAAUUACUUUUAGAACCAGACAGUCAUAUUGUCUGAAUAACUUGGGUUGCUGAGGAAAACAUACAUAUAUUAGAAUGAAAGAAAACUGGAUUGGCACAUCAGUAGGAUUUGCUAAAACUUUUUUGACUCACAGGGCAUCUGGACUGGAGGCAGAGCCAAUGAUGGCAGCAGGGUAGACAGUCCAUAGCUAGGGAAACAUAGGGAGGCUCCUCCCACUUCUGUUAUAAGAUUAUUUUUCAAAGCGUAUGUACUUCUUAAAACCCAACUGUAGGGUGUGGGGAUGUGGAGAAAACUGCAGCAGUGGAGAAGCCCUCUGAGAAUCUAUACUUCUUUUUCUCAUUGAGAGAAAUCUUGAACUUAUCUUCAGAUUCUAGAUAAAGAGGAUUUUCUCCAAAACACCUCAACUAUUUUUGUGCUUAUGUUUGCAUAAUGUGAAAAUGAAGCUCUGUGGGCUUCAUUUAACAUUCUCUUAAAAUGUUUCUCUGUGUUCAUUGGAAAUUUCCCACUGGUCCUUGAUUCCUAUUGGCCUCAUGACAUUUUUUAGCACAAGGCUGUGAUGUAACUAUAGAAUUGCCUUAUUAGCUGAGAUAAGAUGCCAUGACAUUAUUUAUAAAGGUCACUGCUAACUAUGAAGAGAUAAUAACACAGAUAACAAUAAGUUGAGAACAUGCCUGGAAAGGAAGGAUAACAAAAAAUACCCACAAUGCAUAUCUCUCAAGAGCAUGCACUUUAAGAGAGCAUUUUCAAAAGAACGCGUUUUUAUCAGCAAUGUUGAUAAUCUGAAACAUUACAAAAAUUAUAGGAAGCAAACAGAGUACAGGCCAUUUAACUGAGAAAACCCUUUUAAAAAUAUGAAAACUGGAUAUCUGAAACAGAGUCAUGGGGAUGGGGCCAUAGGUUACUAGAAGAGCACAAUGCCUUGUAUGCAAAAGGUCUGAGCUGCAAUCCCUGUCAUCUCAAGACAGGGCUGAGAAUGACCCCUGUCUGAAAGGAGAGAGCUUCUGAAGAGCCACUGCCAGUUAGUGUAGAUAAUACUAAGCAAGAUGAAAAAAGGGUCUGAUUCAAUAAGAGACAUGAUCCUAUUGGCAUUCACUUAGAAUUCAAUCCAUUCAGAAGAUGGGUUUUAUGAAAAUUGAGCAUCAUGAAAAUCUGAUAUCACACACUAACAUUCAGCAAUCUGUUGCUACCCGGUUAAGGGGAAAUUGCUUCCUAGAACUUUCUAGAAAGACAAAUUUGCUUAAGGUUUAGAAGUCCUUACUUAGCGUUCAGAUUGCUUAUGGAUACUUGUUAUGGAAAUAUUUGGGUCAAAGUUGUGUCAUGAUUGUAUCAAAACUAUUUUGCUUAUGAUUUAGCAUUUCAGCAAAGAACAAGAAGAUCAUGACAACAUUCUUUGGAAUAGUCCAGUGCACAUGUCCUUUCUAGUAAUUGACUGGAGAAUAAAAUUCCAUUAUAUCACUGUCCAAAAUUGCAAAGAAACACAAGAAGAAGAAGAAGAAGAAGGAGGAGGAGGAGGAGGAGGAGGAGGAGGAGGCCAUUUUGGUCAUGAAGUAGAGAAUAAACUAAUUUUUGGCUGCCAAAUUGAUUUUAAACAGUUUGGCACAUUUUCAGCUCCAUUCAACUUGGGCUGUGGUUGUUGUUUCGUUUGUUUUUUGUUUGUUUGCAUAUAUGUGCAUUUUAAUAACUUAUUCUUCCCUUAAAUUGCCAUUUUUAAUGCUGA
Long non-coding RNA from Hemicordylus capensis (graceful crag lizard), 2694 nucleotides. RefSeq lists it as uncharacterized. The transcript has 7 exons. The record is from RefSeq and is a predicted model, not a curated record. NCBI's taxonomy places the organism in Eukaryota, Metazoa, Chordata, Lepidosauria, Squamata, Cordylidae.